UAACCUGGUUGAUCCUGCCAGUUAGUCAUAUGCUUGUCUCAAAGAUUAAGCCAUGCAUGUCUAAGUAUAAACUGCUUAUACUGUGAAACUGCGAAUGGCUCAUUAAAUCAGUUAUAGUUUAUUUGAUGGUACCUUUACUCGGAUAACUCUUGGAAAUCUAGAGCUAAUACGUGCUUAAAGGGUGACUUCGGAA
RNAcentral lists this ribosomal RNA (193 nucleotides) under uncultured eukaryote. Its description in RNAcentral is "partial 18S ribosomal RNA". It matches the Rfam family "Eukaryotic small subunit ribosomal RNA", at positions 1 to 193 of the family's 1831-position model. The record is from RNAcentral.